UCUCAUCUGUUCUCCAACGAAGCUCAGGAUGACAGCAUUGUCAUUGCUCCAGUGUUAAAUAACACAGAUGUUGGAGGCAAUGUCAUCUACAAUAUAAACAUUAAUACCAUGAAAAAUGAGGACUAUCAGAAAAAAGAGGAAGCAUCCCUGAUCCCACAGCAAAGCACCUCCCCACCAAUACACCUCAAUGAAGACAGAGGGAGAGAGACAAACAGGAGUGGUGAAGACAAGGGUG
This is a long non-coding RNA of Osmerus eperlanus (European smelt), 235 nucleotides long. RefSeq lists it as uncharacterized. The transcript has 3 exons. The record is from RefSeq and is a predicted model, not a curated record. Lineage: Eukaryota; Metazoa; Chordata; Actinopteri; Osmeriformes; Osmeridae.